CCUACGGGAGGCAGCAGUGAGGAAUAUUGGUCAAUGGACGCAAGCCUGAACCAGCCAUGCCGCGUGCAGGAAGACGGCUCUAGGAGUUGUAAACUGCUUUUUUAAGGGGGUAAACGCAGAUACGCGCAUCUGACUGAGAGUAUUGUACGAAUAAGCAUCGGCUAACUCCGUGCCAGCAGCAGCGGUAAUACGGAGGAUUCAAGCGUUAUCCGGAUUUAUUGGGUUUAAAGGGUGCGUAGGCGGUCGGAUAAGUUAGAGGUGAAAUCCCGGGGCUCAACCUCGGACUUGCCGUUGAUACUGGUAGUCUGGAGAGUGGUAGAGGUAGGCGGAAUGUAUGGUGUAGCGGUGAAAUGCUUAGAGAUCGUACAGAACACCGAUUGCGAAGGCAGCUUACCGGCGUACAUCUGACGUUGAGGCACGAAAGCGUGGGUAGCAAACAGGAUUAGAUACCCGUGUAGUC
This 460-nucleotide ribosomal RNA is filed under the name uncultured bacterium. RNAcentral describes it as "partial 16S ribosomal RNA". It matches the Rfam family "Bacterial small subunit ribosomal RNA", at positions 338 to 795 of the family's 1533-position model. The record is from RNAcentral.